RNAcentral lists this ribosomal RNA (474 nucleotides) under uncultured bacterium. RNAcentral describes it as "bacterial SSU rRNA". It matches the Rfam family "Bacterial small subunit ribosomal RNA", at positions 335 to 799 of the family's 1533-position model. The record is from RNAcentral.
ACUCCUACGGGAGGCAGCAGUGGGGAAUAUUGCACAAUGGGCGCAAGCCUGAUGCAGCCAUGCCGCGUGUAUGAAGAAGGCCUUCGGGUUGUAAAGUACUUUCAGCAGUGAGGAAGGUGGAUAUGUUAAUAGCAUAUUCAUUUGACGUUAGCUGCAGAAGAAGCACCGGCUAACUCCGUGCCAGCAGCCGCGGUAAUACGGAGGGUGCGAGCGUUAAUCGGAAUUACUGGGCGUAAAGCGCAUGCAGGUGGUUUGUUAAGUCAGAUGUGAAAGCCCGGGGCUCAACCUCGGAAUUGCAUUUGAAACUGGCAAACUAGAGUACUGUAGAGGGGGGUAGAAUUUCAGGUGUAGCGGUGAAAUGCGUAGAGAUCUGAAGGAAUACCGGUGGCGAAGGCGGCCCCCUGGACAGAUACUGACACUCAGAUGCGAAAGCGUGGGGAGCAAACAGGAUUAGAUACCCUGGUAGCACGAAUG